This 243-nucleotide unclassified non-coding RNA is filed under the name Tricholoma anatolicum. Its description in RNAcentral is "ITS1". Lineage: Eukaryota; Fungi; Basidiomycota; Agaricomycetes; Agaricales; Tricholomataceae. The record is from RNAcentral.
UUGAAUAAAGCUUGGUUAGGUUGUCGCUGGCCCUCCGGGGCAUGUGCACGCCUGACGCCAAUCUUUUCGCCACCUGUGCACCUUUUGUAGGCUUGGAUAAAAAUAUGUCUCGAGGAAGCUCGGUUUGAGGACUGCCGUGCUGCAAAAGCCAGGCUUUCCUUGUAUUUUUCUAGCCUAUGCAUUUUUAUUAUACACUCGGUAUGUCAUGGAAUGUUAUUUGGUUGGCUUAAUUGCCAGUAAACC